RNAcentral lists this ribosomal RNA (484 nucleotides) under uncultured bacterium. RNAcentral's name for it is "partial 16S ribosomal RNA". It matches the Rfam family "Bacterial small subunit ribosomal RNA", at positions 28 to 523 of the family's 1533-position model. The record is from RNAcentral.
GACGAACGCUGGCGGCGUGCUUAACACAUGCAAGUCGAACGAUGAAGCUAGAGCUUGCUCUGGUGGAUUAGUGGCGAACGGGUGAGUAACACGUGAGUAACCUGCCCCGAACUCUGGGAUAACUGCUGGAAACGGUAGCUAAUACCGGAUAUGACCAAUGAAGGCAUCUUCUGUUGGUGGAAAGAAUUUCGGUUCGGGAUGGACUCGCGGCCUAUCAGCUUGUGGGUGAGGGAACGGCUCACCAAGGCGACGACGGGUAGCCGGCCUGAGAGGGUGAUCGGCCACACUGGGACUGAGACACGGCCCCGACUCCUACGGGGGGCAGCAGUGGGGAAUAUUGCACAAUGGGCGCAAGCCUGAUGCAGCAACGCCGCGUGAGGGACGACGGCCUUCGGGUUGUAAACCUCUUUUAGUAGGGAAGAAGCGAAAGUGACGGUACCUGCAGAAAAAGCACCGGCUAACUACGUGCCAGCCGCCGCCGUAA